GACGAACGCUGGCGGCGUGCUUAACACAUGCAAGUCGAGCGAUGAAGCACCUUCGGGUGUGAAUUAGCGGCGAACGGGUGAGGAACACGUGAGAAAUCUGCCUUCAACACUGGGAUAACUCCGGGAAACCGGGGCUAAUACCGGAUAUGAAACCUGCGGGCAUCCGCGGGUUUGGAAAGUUUUUCGGUUGAAGAUGAUCUCGCGGCCUAUCAGCUUGUUGGUGAGGUAAUGGCUCACCAAGGCGACGACGGGUAGCCGGCCUGAGGGGGCGAACGGCCACCCUGGGACUGAGACACGGCCCAGAGUGCUACGGGGGGCAGCAGUGGGGAAUAUUGGGCAAUGGAGGAAACUCUGACCCAGCGACGCCGGGCGCGGGAUGAAGGCCUUCGGGUUGUAAACCGCUUUCAGCAGGGAAGUAGCGAAAGUGACGGUACCUGCAGAAGAAGCACCGGCUAACUGUGUGCCAGCAGCCGCCGUAA
This 479-nucleotide ribosomal RNA is filed under the name uncultured bacterium. Its description in RNAcentral is "partial 16S ribosomal RNA". It matches the Rfam family "Bacterial small subunit ribosomal RNA", at positions 28 to 523 of the family's 1533-position model. The record is from RNAcentral.